RNAcentral lists this ribosomal RNA (392 nucleotides) under Arcocellulus sp. RNAcentral's name for it is "partial small subunit ribosomal RNA". It matches the Rfam family "Eukaryotic small subunit ribosomal RNA", at positions 582 to 975 of the family's 1831-position model. Lineage: Eukaryota; Bacillariophyta; Thalassiosirophyceae; Cymatosirales; Cymatosiraceae. The record is from RNAcentral.
AUUCCAGCUCCAAUAGCGUAUAUUAAAGUUGUUGCAGUUAAAAAGCUCGUAGUUGGAUUUCUGGUGGGAGCGAUCGGUCUGGCGCUUAGCGCGAGUACUUGCAUCGUCUCCGGCCAUCCUUGGGGAGAGUUUGUCUGGCAUUAAGUUGUCGGGCAGAGGAUCCUCAUCGUUUACUGUGAAAAAAUUAGAGUGUUCAAAGCAGGCUUAUGCCGUUGAAUAUAUUAGCAUGGAAUAAUAAGAUAGGACUUUGGUACUAUUUUGUUGGUUUGCGCACCAAAGUAAUGAUUAAUAGGGACAGUCGGGGGCAUUUGUAUUCAAACGACAGAGGUGAAAUUCUUGGACCGUUUGAAGACAAACUACUGCGAAAGCAUUUGCCGAGAAUGUUUUCAUUA